Molecule: long non-coding RNA, 3647 nt
Organism: Clupea harengus (Atlantic herring)
Lineage: Eukaryota; Metazoa; Chordata; Actinopteri; Clupeiformes; Clupeidae
Source: Ensembl
GGGGUGGGGGGCGGUGGGGUACUUAUGGUUCUAUGAAGGGAGGAGGAGGGGGGCAUCCAAAUAUAGAUCCUGAUCCUCCAACUCGGUGAAUUAAUGUCCAUAUUCUAUGACAGGGAAUGCUGGGCUUUUGUGAUAUUUUCAGUCAGUGAGCAGGGAUCUGUAGAAACCUUGCGCCAUCGACCAUAGGGUAUUAUAGAACACGGGGGGUUCCAAUGGUAGAAAGACACCGAUUGGUGGGUGACGACUUUUUAUAUGCUCCAAUGAAAUCCUUCGCUGCUCUCUAUUUACUGUGAGCUGAAGCAAUGUAAUCUUCUUCCGUCGGUAGAUCCAUCGACUGACAACAGUAGAUCAGCUUUCCUGAGGGCGACGCUACCUAUAAGAAUAUGUGCUUCUGUAGUAAAAUAACAACCGCAGAUUAAGGUUUAGCAGAUGAUGAAAUGACUAAAUGUGAAUGAAAUGCAUCGCUCAUGAGAGAAGGAUUCGGGUGAUUCAGGUGGAUAUCUUUUAAGUUCGCUUGAAUGACAUCUCGGGGAAAUAUCGUUUUAAUGGUGUGAGAUGGAGCCACGGAUGCAAAAGAGAAGCUUUGGAGCUUAGAAGUGUUGGAUAUACAGAAUACGGGUUAACAAUAACUGGAAACCACUGCGACGAGUCAAUGGAUAUUUCUUUCAUGGAAACAACUGGAUUUUGGACCACCUGUCCUUUGCGAAUCUUUUUGCGGUCUGGGCUUGCUGUUCUAAGCAAUCAAAUGGGAAGCCCUUACCCCAAAAAGCAUUUGCGAAGGACACAUACAGCUAUUAUGAACUUCACUUAGUCAAAAUGAUAAUGAUGAAGGUGAUGAUGAUGAUAUGAUGACGACAAUGAUGCACGACAUUAAUUGAACCCUUAAUAUUUCUUAAGUAAGCAAUGUGUAAAAAGUAUUUGCCAUGCCUAACUUAACUGUUGUCCAGAAUUAGGAUGACAUAAAUGAUCAAGUGGAUAUUUGCAACUAAAUCAUUCUUAAAUAUAUUUAUCGUAAAAAGUUUGGUAAUUAUUUUCUGUAGCGACACAUGGUUCUCUUGGGGCCACUGUAUUACCGGAAAAGUGACGUAGCAUUUGAUCUGUCGGUCAAAUAGAUACAAUUUGAAUAGUAUGAUGACCUGAUAUUUACUUUUGAGAAAAAGAUGUACAGUCUGACUGGUUGAAAUCUGUUAUAACAUUUAACUGAAUCAUUUACUCAACUGUUUACAGUGUACUGUUUUACAGUUUAUGUUUAUUUUGAAAACAGAUUGUCGAAGUUCAGUAGAAUACAAAUAAUGUAACAAGCUACAUUACAACAGGAAUGUGCUUAUGUGCUUCAAACUGGAAUGGAAUUUUAAGGAAGCAACUUUGUUAUUAAAUACUAUUGUAGAAUUAUCAUUGCAGAUGCAGAACAUGCAUAAGGAGCUUUAAAAAGACACCAGUCUGACAUUACAGAGUUUGCAGAGUAAACAAAGUCAGAAAAAGGCUCAGGAGACUCCACAUCAUUCCCAAACAGAGUAAAUUGCACUUCUGAUUAUUACAUAAGCAAAGAGAGUGUCAUUAGGUCACGUAUCUUCCAAAGACAAUGAUAUGGCAUGGAAGUUGCCUUUUUAUUGCAAUACAGAUUAUUCACAUGAUGUUUUCUUUUGGGUGUACAUAGGGGCAGUAGUGUGUUUGGGAAUUGGCGUUACUAUAUACAAUGAAGUUCUGAGUUAUGUGUUUGUUCCAUUGCUUCCUGGUGUAUUAUACAAGUCUUACCCUUUUUGAUGUAAAUAAAAGUCCCAAUAAACAUUAUGAAACAUUUUCAAUAAGACAAGUGUAAGUUGUCUCAUUGUUUCUUCUCCACAACUUCAGCAAAUGUAAUAAAUGUAAAAAAAACUCAACUGAUACUCCUACAGGAAACUGUAACACAAACUCAUUUAUUGUUCAAUGCAGGUGUAUUGAAGCUGUGUACAGCGGACCAUUAAGGAGUGUUCCUGAUGUAGUAUAGUGACUUGUGUACUGACUGUCUCAAGAUCUGAAAAUGAAAAAAAAAGUACAAAACUAUAAGUAUGUACUUUUUUUUCAGAAACCGACAAUGUCUUUCAAAAAUCAAACAUUCAUAUAACUGAAAUGUUAUUUCAAGUGGAUGUUGUCAGAUGAUUACAUCACUAGAUAUUCAUUAAGCAGUCUAGAGCAGAAAUGACUUUAAAGGCAUGUUUUACCAUGUGAAAACAUACAAUUAUAAGUUCAGAUAUUUACUGUGUUUUAUAUGUUUAUUUCAUCAAAACACUUUUCCUAUAUCCUUUUUGUACGCAGUCCUUUAACACUUUGUUGUCCCUCACUGAUGACAAAUGACUGUAUACUCUAGAUAGCUAUAUUGUUUUUCUAGAGAAGGUGCUUGGGCUAUCAUUUACUGGUAUAUGUUGUGCAUUGGAGUCAGAGACUUCGGAGUCCCCUGAAGUGCUAACCCAAACCCAAACCACAGAAUCAAGACAAUGAAGUGAAGAAAUACAUUAAAAUAUUCUGAAAAAUAUGCAAUAAUAAAUUACAUAAUUGAAGAACAAUGCGUUAUUUGGGCAGAGGCAGCUUUAGGUGUCAAUUGCCCUACCCCUCACUCCCUAUUGUAUCCAUUUUAAAUUACUCACAUGUACUAUGUGGGCAAGAAAAUGCACAUCACUUUAAUCCAGUUGCCAAAUGAAAGCAUUGUAAGAUUUUGCACUGUCCCCCUGUUUCCGUGUCUCCUUCCUCAGCCUCUGUGUUGCCUCGCAGGCUCACGGGCCGCCACCUUUAACUCCACUACCACCACUCGUGCUCUUGUUCUUGUUAUGCCGUACAUUCUUGACGCCACGUAGAUUUGCAAUCAGGAUUUCAAUUGCAAUAGGACAUUGUCAAGGUAAACAUUUUUGCUUCCCCAAAACUAGUCCAUUGGUAAAAUCCUUGUAAAUUGUUACACAGAUUUUACAGGACCCCUAAUCUAGGUGUCUGUCCUUCAAUAACUAAUCUUUGGCAGAGUCUUACCUCAUUGUUAAAUAUGCUGAGAGAAGUUACCAGAAGAAGCUAUAAAAUCUAUUGGAUGAUACAACAAAAGAAAAUCCUAAUGGCAGGUAUAACAUCAGCCAUGAUGAGUGUUCACAUGUGGUUCAGAGCCUACCAUUUUUCACAAGUAUGUGGUCUUUCAUGUUCUUGUUUUGGAUGUUCUUAAUUGGGAGAUUGUAGCCACUACAACACAGAGCCACAGUCAACAAAUAUCCAACUGUGAUUUCUUUCAUGGGACAUUUUUUCAUUUCUUGUACCUGUAUUUAGUCUGUAUGGAUAAUGUCUAACUGUAGAUAUAUGAAUGAGCCGUCAUGCAAACAUGAAACUAAUGUCUGUUUUGUCUUUGCUAUUGCUGGUCUUCACAACUAAUAAAAAUGUAUUCACAAAGUCGUCACUGUCAGUGUCUGACACUUAUGUCCAUCUAAAUGUCAAUGUUUUGCAUGGAGGCCAAGCAUGGAAAACAUGCUGUGAAGAAUAAGCCUCUUAUUACAUUGACCCAACUGGGGAUAUUUUAUGAUAUCUGAUCUCACUCUGCACUCGGGAACCUGCACACAUACGUGCAUGCACACAUACACACACACGUGCACACACACACACACACACACACACACACACACACACACACACACACA